RNAcentral lists this long non-coding RNA (539 nucleotides) under Bos taurus (domestic cattle). RNAcentral's name for it is "long non-coding RNA NONBTAT000501". Lineage: Eukaryota; Metazoa; Chordata; Mammalia; Artiodactyla; Bovidae. The record is from RNAcentral.
CAGGGAAUACGGUUUCUUCGAAUCUUAUCACAACACUGUGGCGGGAAGAUCAGGAAACGGGUUCACCUUUCAGCAGUCACCACAUUUUAUUUCAAACAUUAAAAGAGUACUGGUUUGCACAUGGUAGUUCUGAGUCAGGCCAAGGGUUUUGAGAUUUCUGACUUCUUCCACUGAAAAGGGCUUUCGCUGUAGUCAUUUUGCUCAGUUUUGUUGUGGGUCAUUUGAGUUAAAGAAAAUUUAAUAGCCGAAAACUGAAAUCAAAUCAACAUGACGAAAAGAAAUAGGUGAAAUGUAUAGAACAUUACUGCAUUCCCAUUGGAUCAAGAUGGUUUCGCCCAUUUUUCCUCUUUCACUAACACUGUUCCUUUUUUUCUUUGUUACAAUCCAUUCCUUGUGAACAUACAGAAAUGACCAAAGUCACUGCAAGUGGCUGUUUUUAUUUUUUGUGAUCUGUUGCAAGAGUCCAACCUUGUUUCCUCUGCUGCUGUUUGUGUAGCAUCUGGUUUUGUAAUGAGCAUCUGGAUUUAUGUGCAUGUGUG